Non-coding RNA from Pelobates cultripes (western spadefoot toad), 247 nucleotides. The record is from the annotation of a GenBank genome assembly. NCBI's taxonomy places the organism in Eukaryota, Metazoa, Chordata, Amphibia, Anura, Pelobatidae.
CAUUAUUGAUCUUUCAGCCCCUCAUACCUCCGCUACCCCAAGUCUCAACUCCCUCAUUCCCUCCGAAGAAUUUUCCCUUCAAUACGCCACCAUUGAUAACGCCAUUACAGCCAUCACACAAACGGGUGUUGGAGCUUGGUUAAGUAAUACGGACAUUACAAAUGCCUUCAAACUGCUACCAAUCCACCCUACACUCUGGCACCUACAUGGUAUAAAAUGGGCAGGGAAAUACUAUUUCUUCUCCCGC